RNAcentral lists this long non-coding RNA (948 nucleotides) under Capsicum annuum. Its description in RNAcentral is "long non-coding RNA (CANN_LNC004518)". The record is from RNAcentral. Lineage: Eukaryota; Viridiplantae; Streptophyta; Magnoliopsida; Solanales; Solanaceae.
AGAAAAACAAAUACUAAAAACAUAUUAUUAAUAUGGUUUGGUCAAACGACCUACAUAUUAAAAAUAAUAUUGAAAAAAAAAAACUUAAAAUCCUAUUGGGAGAAAAUCUCUUCCUAAACGAAAAUCUUAAAAGACUACAUUGUAAAUGUUAUUCUGUUAUGGUAUGAGAAGGGGGUCUUCUAUUUAUAGAUGUCCAAAACCUUUUCUCCAAGAAAGAGAUUAGCCAAAUAUAGAAAAGAAUUAUAUUUUUCUUUCAGGAAAAGUAAAAGUAAUUAUGGUAACUUUUAUUUUUCUUUUAAGAAAAAGUAAAACUUAAAUAUAGUAAGAAAAUCAGGGCGAAAACUCUAACAAAUCUCCUUUUUUUUGCUUGAUUUUCUUCAAUUGAUCCGUCUUAUUCAUAUCUUUGAUCUUUGUUCUUCACAUAAUCUUCAUCACUGUUACUUGUCAUAUUUAAAAAUGGAGCUUUUGGGUUAAAAAAUAUAUGAGCCCAUUCAGAUUGAAAAUCUUGGAGCUCUUUGUAGAGUUAAAAGAAAGCUUUAUUUUCAAAUAUGUGACAGCAGGAUUGUUGAAAAUAUGAUUGACAAUCGUCUCCACGUGUAGCUUUUUGACAAAAAUCUUCAUUAUCAUCCAAAUUAUUGUAGUUUGAUUUUGAAACCGCUUUAAACCUAUUUAAUCUCGUCUCACCACACCAUUGGACUAUUGAACCAUAAGCUUUGAUACCACUUGUUCGGUUCGAAAUCGAGAGGGCAUCAUGCGGAAGCUUAAAGUUUGCAAACAAUAGGACGGUAAUUCAGAUGACCAAGAAAAACAAAUACUAAAAAUAUAUUAUUAAUAUGGUUUGGUCAAACGACCUACAUAUUAAAAAUAAUAUUGAAAAAAAAAAACUUAAAAUCCUAUUGGGAGAAAAUCUCCCCCUAAACGAAGAUGUUAAAAGACUAUAUUGUGAAU